CUAGUUAAUAUUUUUUUUAGUAUAAUAUUAAAAGAGUGUGGACUCAAAUUUAAUAUGCAUUCAGUCAUUAAAUGUAGACAUAAAAAUGAAUUUUAAAAUCUAUCAUCUAAAUAAAUCAAUGACAUAAAGUAUAUAUUUUUAUAAAAAUGGAUUUCACAAGUUCCACAAAGGCUCAGAUUGCAAGAAUGUAAUGGCACUAGAAUUUUUCCCCCCUUUUUCCUUUUCCUACGACAGUGGUGAAUACUCAAAGACUACAGGGCAAGAACCGAAGAAUAGACAUAACUUCUCUUCGAAUUUGAUCUCUCCUUAUCUUUCCAGUUGUUGUGAGUGGAAAUGGCUUUCUCCAUAAAACAAAUCUUUUUGGUACUUUAAACCCGGAUAAAUUCUUUUCUCUGCAGUACUUGUGGAGAAUUUCACUGCAUAAGAGUAGCUCGUUUUCAGCAGGGUCUUCACAAUUGUUUUCAGACCAUUGCCAACCUUCUUUUAUUUUAACGCAAGCGACAACCAUCUCUGUCAGGCGAGCAUCUGGAAUUCCCAGAACAAUGACGGCAACCACUCCUGGAUGUUGCAACAAGAUUGACUCCACCUCUUCUGGGUGAACAUUCUCCCCGCCACUCUUGAUACGGUUGUUUGUACGUCCAAUGAGCCAUAAAUUACCAGAGUUAUCUAUGUAACCGAUGUCACCUGUGUCAAGCCAAACUUCAUUGAUGUGGUUUGGUGCCUUCAAUGGAUUUUGGUCCCAAUAUCGAAGCAUUACAUGUGGGCCUCUAGUUAAAAUUCUCCCAAUCUGAGAAGAGCCAUCAAUACAUACUUUUAACUCCACAUGUGGUGCAGGCUUGCCAACACAGACACCUUGCGGUUGGUUACCUGAAGCAGACUUUAUUUUACUAGACGUCUGCAAGAGCUGACUAGGGGUUUCAAUUGUUGGAUCAUUGAGGGUCAUGAAGGUUAGAGAAGAACAGCUCUCUGUCAUUCCUUCAAGAGAUAAAGAAAUGUUGAAGAGAGGAAGAACAUUAAAAAGUUAGGGAAAAAAUAAGAAAAAUACAUAAUAGUUAAAUCCAUUGAAAGAAUAUACAAGUUGCCAGACAAUUUUACACUUAUGAGUCUGUUUGGCUUAGUUAAGUUUGAAUCAGAAUCUAGUAACCUCCAUAAGCGUGGCACUGGUAGAUGAGAAUUUAGCCCUAUUUGGUUUUUCCCGGAGAUUCAAUCCCAUGAAACUUUAGUCAAUUUUCAAACCCACAUCAUUGGAAGCUAAAUUCAGUAAUGUUAUCCUUCUUUUGGCCCUAAGAAAUUAUAGUGCUUAAAAUUUCUUCUAAACAACCUCACAUCUAAAAGAUUUUAUCAAAAGAUCAUUUCAAAGUAGAAAUGAAACAAUCCUUUAAGGUUAUUUUGGAGCAAAAUGUAUUAAGUUGCACACACUUGAUGCAAUAGAGGACAACUUUCUUACCAUAAGCUGAAAGAAGCUUAGCUCUUGGGAACAGUUUUCUGGUAUCUUUUAUAAGCCAAACUGACAGACUCCCACCUCCAUUUAAUAUUUUCUCAACAGUUUGACUCCCUUUCGAGGUUUCCUUUGCCCUGACAAAAUAUCUCUGAAAAAUAAACUGAGCCAACUGACUACCAUACAACACAAUUACUAAAGAAACCUAACAUCAUUAAAGACAUGCAGUGCAUGUUGUGUAGGGGGGAAAUAUAAAAACUCAAAAUUCAUUAGGCAGGACUUAUUGGCAGUGACAAGCUUUCAUUCUCAGAUAUAGCACAAGGUCUGUUCAAGUACAAAAUCACUAACAUGUGCGAUGCAUGUUGUGAGGGGAAGAAUAAAGGCUUAGUAGUCUUAGCUUUCAAAAUGCAUGCUUAAAAAUUGGACUUUGCUAGGACAUCACAUGGAAUGAGAGAGAAAAAAAAAAGAAUGGAAUUUAACUGGCCAUGGGAAAAAGGUAGGGACACUGACACAGCCUAAUUAUGUUGAGAAACAUAGGCAACCAAAAAUGACAAAGAUAUUCAUUCAUCUAAUAUAUUCAGAGGGCAAGAAAAUUCUUCCUAUGGUCACUUGUCCAUUUUUUCUUCAUGUUAAUUUCUACUGAAACAUUCUAUGAAAAUGAAUGUCAAAGAUAGCUGUCUCCCACCACAUCUUUAUGACAGUAUUACUUUAAUCUGCUUCCAUUAAAGAAUGAAGGAAUUAUAUUAUUACCUGGCUAUUGAGAUCAAAUCACCCAGUAUUGCAGGAACAGUGAUUAGAGAAGUCACUCUGUGUUGCUCUAUACUUUCUACUGCCAGUGUAGCUUCAAACUUGGGUAUCAAGACAUGGCAAGCUCCAACCAUUAGCAUAGCCAUGGCUGAUGACAAUCCACCAAUGUGGCAAAGCGGAGUAGUGUGCAAAUAGACAUCAUUCUCACAAUAACCAACAAUGGCAGCUUUUGCUAAGGAUUGUACUAUCAAAGCUGAAUGGCUUAUGACAACUCCCUUUGGCCUUCCAGUGGUUCCUGAAGUGAAGCAUAUAACAACAGCGCCCUCAGGUGCCCAAGAGUAAUUCAAUGGAAGAGUUCUUAUGCCAUUCUUCCGAAGCAUUUCAGUAGUUAAUACUAGAAAAAUGAAGGAAACGUAACAAUACUAUUAAGUCAAUCAUCGAAUUACAGAAAACUAAGAUUUUUAACUCAUACACACACAGCAAAUUAAACAAUUCUCAGAAGGUACAUACUGUUUGAUGCUUCGAAGGAGCCCAAGAAAGCAUGCCACUUUAGAGAAGGUAUAGCAUCACUCUGGAGCUCCGAAUACCAACAAUUACAGCUCUCAUCAGUCACCAACAUCACUGGCCUCACACACAACAUCGCUGAUUUUGCCUCUUCAAAGCUCCAUCGAUAAUUCAGAGGAGCAACUACGGCACCAACAAACGCAACCGCUAGUAACCACUCUAAAUAGCAAACGCUGAAACGAGCCACCAAAUCAUAUACUCUCAUAAGCGGGUACUGAUACAUGUAUUUUCAGAGCAAAGGCAGAGACAGAACCUGUUUAAAGCACAGAUUGCGACAAUGUCGCCGCUCCUGAGUCCAAGUUCAAGCAGUCCGCGAGCCAAACUCAACACGUCUUCAACGAAAUGCUCGCCAGUUUUCUGCCGGUCGCCGGCAAUUGUGACGAUGGAAUUUCGCCGGAGAGUUGAUAACCGCGUCAGGCACUGGCAAAUAUGGGCCUGAGAGUAAUAAGCCAUUGGCUUUGUUGAGGAUAAAUUGAGAAUUGGAAGAUUAGUUCUGACUCACUGCACCGGUGAUUUUACGUUGAGUUUUGAAUGACAUGUUAAGGCUGAAGAAAGCGCGUAGAUCAUCUUAUCUCGUAAAGAACUUGGUGAGACAUUCAAGUGGCUCGUUUGUGAC
RNAcentral lists this unclassified non-coding RNA (3365 nucleotides) under Hevea brasiliensis (rubber tree). The record is from RNAcentral. Lineage: Eukaryota; Viridiplantae; Streptophyta; Magnoliopsida; Malpighiales; Euphorbiaceae.